GGAAGUAAGAUAUAUUAUCGCUGCUAACGAAUAAUUUGUAGAUUUGAUUCUACUACUUUCU
RNAcentral lists this transfer RNA (61 nucleotides) under Schistosoma malayensis. RNAcentral describes it as "tRNA-Ser". Lineage: Eukaryota; Metazoa; Platyhelminthes; Trematoda; Strigeidida; Schistosomatidae. The record is from RNAcentral.